GGGGAAUAUUGCACAAUGGGCGAAAGCCUGAUGCAGCAACGCCGCGUGAGUGAUGAAGGUCUUCGGAUUGUAAAGCUCUGUCUUUUGGGACGAUAAUGACGGUACCAAAGGAGGAAGCCACGGCUAACUACGUGCCAGCAGCCGCGGUAAUACGUAGGUGGCGAGCGUUGUCCGGAUUUACUGGGCGUAAAGGGUGCGUAGGCGGAUGUUUAAGUGAGAUGUGAAAUACCCGGGCUUAACUUGGGUGCUGCAUUUCAAACUGGAUAUCUAGAGUGCAGGAGAGGAGAAUGGAAUUCCUAGUGUAGCGGUGAAAUGCGUAGAGAUUAGGAAGAACACCAGUGGCGAAGGCGAUUCUCUGGACUGUAACUGACGCUGAGGCACGAAAGCGUGGGUAGCAAACAGGAUUAGAUACCCUGGUAGUCCACGCCGUAAACGAUGAGUACUAGGUGUAGGAGGUAUCGACCCCUUCUGUGCCGCAGU
This 480-nucleotide ribosomal RNA is filed under the name uncultured bacterium. RNAcentral's name for it is "partial 16S ribosomal RNA". It matches the Rfam family "Bacterial small subunit ribosomal RNA", at positions 356 to 852 of the family's 1533-position model. The record is from RNAcentral.